GCCGGGGUGGGGGUGGCCCAGCCGCGAUGCCCAGCCUGGGCCGAAAGUGCCUCGGGGGACGUUGCUGCAGCUCAAGGCGACUGGGCUGAGGCUCCCAGACCCUAGUUACCAUGCUGUCUCCACCAUGGAGACCCACACCAGACGGCAGGCCAUGUGUCGCUGAAGUUACAGCAGUGUUUUCUGCCUGGCAGUCCUCAACUGCAUUGGUGGAUGAAAGGUGCAGGUGUGUCGAGGUCACCUCCAUUUCAGGGCGAAGCAUCCUUCAACAACAUUGAAAUAAUGGCAGCCCUGAACACAGUUUUCAAGACCAAGAGACCAAGCUCUUGUUUUAUGGGACACAGAGACACCUAGAAUUGAAGGAGCGGGAGAAUGUGAUGUCAGUACCUACACAUUAUUAAAGUAACUGCUCUAGUUUACUUUCUGUUGUUGUGGUAAAACUAUGAACAAAAGCAACUUGCCUUGUGGAGCAAAUGGCUUGUUUCAUCUCACAGGUUUUAGACCACCAUCUUGGAAAGCUAAGACAGAAGGUUAAGUAUCCAGUAGAAUUCAGAAGCUGCAAACAGUAUGAAGAAAGAAUUAUUUAUCUAGGAUCAUGAAACAAGAAAUUUCCUGCUAAACCUAUGCUAGAGCAAUACUGGGAAAUCAAAUCGAGAGAUACCAGGUAAGGGGGCUUGGCAGAAACAGGAACGGUACCUAAGGGGAGGGGUGGUGUGUAUGCAUGAGGACUUGGGGAUCAGCAGAAGUAAGUGAAGGCAAAAUUAACCACUUCCCCCCAUUCCUUCUACAUUUGGGGUUCAAUAAGACCCAGCUUUCACAUUUAACUUGGGUUUUUGCUCUGACUGAGCUUCCAAGUAAAGGCAAUCCACAAGCUUUUCGUUGAAAGAUGGCUUUGAAUGGACUCACUGGUUCUUGGUUCUUGUGCAUCAUGGCUCCUCCAACUUUGAAUACUAUUAUCAGUAGGUCCCAGCAGCUGGGCCAGAAAGGAGAAUGGGAGGCUAGCAUCUGAAGCUCAGUAAAAGGAAACUUCCCAACUCAAACUCCAGGCUUGCUUUCUCCAAGCAAAAGCCUGUUAUUACUUUGGUCAGCCUUUCAGGGGAAAACCAAAAACCUACUCACUCGUUAACAAAUAUGCCAGGCUUGGUGCUGGGUCCUAGAGAAACAAAUCUUGAGCAAAAGAUGGCAAGAAACAAAUAAAAUCAUGUUCAAAGCAUUUGAAACAAUUUGUGUUUUGUAAGCACAUUAGCUACUUGGCCUGUACUUGGUGGCUUCCUUUCUGGUCGCAUGUGCCAUCCCCAUUGUGGCCUCAAUGUGGCAGCGAAUCCUGUGAUUAACUGGCUAUGGAAAGGGCUACAACAGAAACCAACCUAAUUUUAAAUGCUUUAAAUGGCAACAAGACUCUGAAGCGCAACAAAUGCACCCAAUCGGAGGGUUUUCAUUAACCGCUCUUGCUGGGAGGGAAUGGUGACUGGAGGAAAGAAUAGAAGCCCUUUGGGCCUAGACCACUUAUUCUGCUGUAGAUCGCAGGCCUGCAAAGCUGGAGGGAUGACCACACAGGAGGAGGAAGAGGAAUUCAAAAGGGCACUCUUCUGGGAAGCGAGUCAUGCCCAGAGUACCAAGCAUUUUCCCUGCUUUAUUCCAUGAGUGCCCUGGAGCCAAACAGCAGACAGGACCGAGUGAGCAAAGUGAUGGGGGCAGGGUGGGCAUCAAGGCAGUGGUCCAAGGUGGUGCCAAUGAGCAAUGUGGGAGAAUUGAAGAAGGGUAAUGUUGCGGCUAUUUUCCUUUCCUCUAAGUGUUUAACUCAAUUUUGCAAAGAGACACCACUGGCAAUUUUGUGCUCUCAUCCAAAAGAAUAGCAAAAACA
This is a long non-coding RNA of Peromyscus californicus insignis, 1861 nucleotides long. RefSeq lists it as uncharacterized. The transcript has 4 exons. Lineage: Eukaryota; Metazoa; Chordata; Mammalia; Rodentia; Cricetidae. The record is from RefSeq and is a predicted model, not a curated record.